Molecule: non-coding RNA, 164 nt
Filed under: uncultured Symbiodinium
Lineage: Eukaryota; Dinophyceae; Suessiales; Symbiodiniaceae
Source: RNAcentral
AAAUAUAAAAACUAAAAAGGGAAAAAUAAGGAAAAGAAAAAGAACAGGAAUAAAAGAAUUUGAAGAUAAUGACAAGGAAGAUAGAAUCCUUUGUCUCUAGAAUGCCUUUUUUCUUCUCUUUAAUUCUCUUUUAUUUCAUCUAAAAUGUAUUAUCUUAUUAUCAA